This is a long non-coding RNA of Oncorhynchus tshawytscha (Chinook salmon), 971 nucleotides long. The record is from Ensembl. NCBI's taxonomy places the organism in Eukaryota, Metazoa, Chordata, Actinopteri, Salmoniformes, Salmonidae.
GCUCCCUGCAGGGAGACAGCGUGGCGGAGCUGGUCCAAGUCUGCUGGGUCUGUCAUGGCCAGUUCGUACUAUCAUGACACAAGGGGAGACCCAGAUGCAGACAGAGAGGCAGAUGGUUGGAGUCUUACAAUGUUUAUUAAUCCAAAGGGGUAGGCAAGAGAAUGGUUGUGGACAGGCAAAAAGGUCAAAACCAGAUCAGAGUCCAGGAGGUACAGAGUGGCAGACAGGCUCUGGGUCAAGGCAGGCAGAAGGGUCAGGCAGGCGGGUAUAAAGUCCAGAAACAGACAAGGAUCAAAAUCGGGAGGACUAGAAAAAGGAGGAUGCAAAAAGCAGGAGAACAGGAAAACCACUGGUUGACUUGGAAACAUAUAAGACGAACUGGCACAGAGAGACAGGAAACACAGUGAUAAAUACACUGGGGAAAAUCAGCGACACCUGGAGGGGGUGGAGAUAAUAACGGGGAUAGGUGAAACAGAUCAGGGUGUGAAUGCUUUUUCUUUGCAACUCUGCCUAGAAGGCCAGCAUCCCGGAGACGCCUCUUCACUGUUGAUGUUGAGACUGGUGUUUUGCGGGUACUAUUUAAUGAAGCUGCCAGUUGAGGACUUGUGAGGCGUCUGUUUCUCAAACUAGACACUCUAAUGCACUUGUCCUCUUGCUCAGUUGUGCACCGGGGCCUCCCACUCCUCUUUCUAUUCUGGUUAGGGCCAGUUUGCGCUGUUCUGUGAAGGGAGUAGUACACAGCGUUGUAGGAGAUCUUCAGUUUCUAGAGAGGGAGGGAGUGAGAAUGUAUGGUAAGAGUAGAAAGGGAGGAAGAGAGAGAAUGAGGGAAGAGUAGAGAGGGAGGGAGAGAGAGAAUGAGGGUAAGAAGAGGGAGGGAGAGAGAGAAUGAGGGUAAGAGUAAAGAGAGAGAAUGAGGGUAAGAAGAGGGAGGGAGAGAGAGAAUGAGGGUAAGAGUAAAGAGAGAGAAUGAG